RNAcentral lists this ribosomal RNA (468 nucleotides) under uncultured Comamonas sp. RNAcentral's name for it is "bacterial SSU rRNA". It matches the Rfam family "Bacterial small subunit ribosomal RNA", at positions 910 to 1382 of the family's 1533-position model. The record is from RNAcentral. Lineage: Bacteria; Pseudomonadati; Pseudomonadota; Betaproteobacteria; Burkholderiales; Comamonadaceae.
UUGACGGGACCCGCACAAGCGGUGGAUGAUGUGGUUUAAUUCGAUGCAACGCGAAAACCUUACCCACCUUUGACAUGUACGGAAUCCUUUAGAGAUAGAGGAGUGCUCGAAAGAGAGCCGUAACACAGGUGCUGCAUGGCUGUCGUCAGCUCGUGUCGUGAGAUGUUGGGUUAAGUCCCGCAACGAGCGCAACCCUUGUCAUUAGUUGCUACGAAAGGGCACUCUAAUGAGACUGCCGGUGACAAACCGGAGGAAGGUGGGGAUGACGUCAAGUCCUCAUGGCCCUUAUAGGUGGGGCUACACACGUCAUACGAUGGCUGGUACAAAGGGUUGCCAACCCGCGAGGGGGAGCCAAUCCCAUAAAGCCAGUCGUAGUCCGGAUCGCAGUCUGCAACUCGACUGCGUGAAGUCGGAAUCGCUAGUAAUCGUGGAUCAGAAUGUCCACGGUCCGAAUACGUUCCGGGCCUU